CAGUGACCAGGGCCAAACGUUCGAUUCCGUCGAAAUCGGCAUGCUCGAUGGCCAUAACACCGGCGUCGGCGAACAGUUGUUCGGGGUAGUUGUAGAUCAAUUGUCUGUAAGGAGAGAGAGGGUUCCAAUCAUGCUCAGUUUCCAGUUAAU
Long non-coding RNA from Bradysia coprophila, 150 nucleotides. NCBI's taxonomy places the organism in Eukaryota, Metazoa, Arthropoda, Insecta, Diptera, Sciaridae. The record is from RefSeq and is a predicted model, not a curated record.